CGGGCGCAUCUAUAAUGCAGUCGAGCGGACAGAUGGGAGCUUGCUCCCUGAUGUUAGCGGCGGACGGGUGAGUAACACGUGGGUAACCUGCCUGUAAGACUGGGAUAACUCCGGGAAACCGGGGCUAAUACCGGAUGCUUGAUUGAACCGCAUGGUUCAAUUAUAAAAGGUGGCUUUUAGCUACCACUUACAGAUGGACCCGCGGCGCAUUAGCUAGUUGGUGAGGUAACGGCUCACCAAGGCAACGAUGCGUAGCCGACCUGAGAGGGUGAUCGGCCACACUGGGACUGAGACACGGCCCAGACUCCUACGGGAGGCAGCAGUAGGGAAUCUUCCGCAAUGGACGAAAGUCUGACGGAGCAACGCCGCGUGAGUGAUGAAGGUUUUCGGAUCGUAAAACUCUGUUGUUAGGGAAGAACAAGUACCGUUCGAAUAGGGCGGUACCUUGACGGUACCUAACCAGAAAGCCACGGCUAACUACGUGCCAGCAGCCGCGGUAAUACGUAGGUGGCAAGCGUUGUCCGGAAUUAUUGGGCGUAAAGCGCGCGCAGGCGGUUUCUUAAGUCUGAUGUGAAAGCCCCCGGCUCAACCGGGGAGGGUCAUUGGAAACUGGGGAACUUGAGUGCAGAAGAGGAGAGUGAAAUUCCACGUGUAGCGGUGAAAUGCGUAGAGAUGUGAGGAACACCAGUGGCGAAGGCGACUCUCUGGUCUGUAACUGACGCUGAGGCGCGAAAGCGUGGGGAGCGAACAGGAUUAGAUACCCUGUAGUCCACGCGUAAACGAUGAGUGCUAAGUGUAGAGGGUUUCCGCCUUUAGUGCUGCAGCAACGCAUAGGCACUUCGCUUGGGAGUACGGUCGCAAGAACUGAACUCAAAGAAUGACGGGCCCGCAAGCGUGGACCAUGGUAUCCAGCACGGAAGACCGUACAGUCUGGACAUC
RNAcentral lists this ribosomal RNA (939 nucleotides) under Bacillus sonorensis. RNAcentral describes it as "bacterial SSU rRNA". It matches the Rfam family "Bacterial small subunit ribosomal RNA", at positions 40 to 988 of the family's 1533-position model. The record is from RNAcentral. Lineage: Bacteria; Bacillati; Bacillota; Bacilli; Caryophanales; Bacillaceae.